RNAcentral lists this ribosomal RNA (463 nucleotides) under uncultured bacterium. Its description in RNAcentral is "bacterial SSU rRNA". It matches the Rfam family "Bacterial small subunit ribosomal RNA", at positions 28 to 524 of the family's 1533-position model. The record is from RNAcentral.
GAUGAACGCUGGCGGCGUGCCUAAUACAUGCAAGUCGAGCGGCAGCACGGUCUUCGGACUGGUGGCGAGCGGCGGACGGCUGAGUAACGCGUAGGAAUAUACCCCAAAGUGAGGGAUAACUGCCCGAAAGGGUGGCUAAUACCGCAUGUGGUCUUCGGACUAAAGCCUUCGGGCGCUUUGGGAAUAGCCUGCGUAAGAUUAGCUAGUUGGUGAGGUAAUGGCUCACCAAGGCGACGAUCUUUAGCUGGUCUGAGAGGAUGACCAGCCAGACUGGAACUGAGACACGGUCCAGACUCCUACGGGAGGCAGCAGUAGGGAAUUUUCCACAAUGGGCGAAAGCCUGAUGGAGCAACGCCGCGUGCAGGAUGAAGGCCCUCGGGUCGUAAACUGCUUUUAUGUGCGAAGAAUAUGACGGUAACACAUGAAUAAGGGUCGGCUAACUACGUGCCAGCAGCCGCGUAAU